ACGCGAGCUGGGUUCAGAACGUCGUGAGACAGUUCGGUCCCUAUCCUCUGCACUCGCAGCUAGAUUGAGGAAGGCUAUCCCUAGUACGAGAGGACCGGGAUGGACGCAGCUCUCGUGUGCCAGUUGUCCUGCCAAGGGCAUUGCUGGUUAGCGACCUGCGGAAGGGAUAACCGCUGAAAGCAUCUAAGUGGGAAGCCCGUUUCAAGAUGAAUCUAGCCACCGGGUUAACCGGGUAAGGCCCGUGGGAGACCACCACGUUGAUAGGCCGGAGGUGGAAUUGCGGUAACGCAUGGAGCCGACCGGUACUAAUCGGCCGAGGGCUUGGAUCU
RNAcentral lists this ribosomal RNA (329 nucleotides) under Actinomycetota bacterium. RNAcentral describes it as "Actinobacteria bacterium partial 23S ribosomal RNA". It matches the Rfam family "Bacterial large subunit ribosomal RNA", at positions 2598 to 2925 of the family's 2925-position model. The record is from RNAcentral. Lineage: Bacteria; Bacillati; Actinomycetota.